CCUACGGGAGGCUGCAGUGGGGAAUUUUGGACAAUGGGCGCAAGCCUGAUCCAGCCAUUCCGCGUGCAGGAUGAAGGCCCUCGGGUUGUAAACUGCUUUUGUACGGAACGAAACGGUGCUCUCUAAUACAGGGCGCUAAUGACGGUACCGUAAGAAUAAGCACCGGCUAACUACGUGCCAGCAGCCGCGGUAAUACGUAGGGUGCAAGCGUUAAUCGGAAUUACUGGGCGUAAAGCGUGCGCAGGCGGUUUUGUAAGACAGGUGUGAAAUCCCCGGGCUUAACCUGGGAACUGCACUUGUGACUGCAAAGCUGGAGUGCGGCAGAGGGGGAUGGAAUUCCGCGUGUAGCAGUGAAAUGCGUAGAUAUGCGGAGGAACACCGAUGGCGAAGGCAAUCCCCUGGGCCUGCACUGACGCUCAUGCACGAAAGCGUGGGGAGCAAACAGGAUUAGAUACCCUGGUAGUCCAC
RNAcentral lists this ribosomal RNA (468 nucleotides) under uncultured Comamonadaceae bacterium. RNAcentral's name for it is "bacterial SSU rRNA". It matches the Rfam family "Bacterial small subunit ribosomal RNA", at positions 338 to 798 of the family's 1533-position model. The record is from RNAcentral. Lineage: Bacteria; Pseudomonadati; Pseudomonadota; Betaproteobacteria; Burkholderiales; Comamonadaceae.